CGUAGCUCGGCGAGUGAGCGGCAACAGCUCAAAUUUGAAAUCUGGCUCUCGGGCCCGAGUUGUAAUUUGUAGAGGAUACUUUUGAUGCGGUGCCUUCCGAGUUCCCUGGAACGGGACGCCAUAGAGGGUGAGAGCCCCGUCUGGUUGGAUGCCAAAUCUCUGUAAAGUUCUUUCGACGAGUCGAGUAGUUUGGGAAUGCUGCUCUAAAUGGGAGGUAUAUGUCUUCUAAAGCUAAAUACCGGCCAGAAACCGAUAGCGCACAGUUAGGGGGUC
This 273-nucleotide ribosomal RNA is filed under the name Fusarium sp. RNAcentral describes it as "partial large subunit ribosomal RNA". It matches the Rfam family "Eukaryotic large subunit ribosomal RNA", at positions 79 to 357 of the family's 3401-position model. The record is from RNAcentral. Lineage: Eukaryota; Fungi; Ascomycota; Sordariomycetes; Hypocreales; Nectriaceae.